AGCUCCAAUAGCGUAUAUUAAAGUUGUUGCAGUUAAAAAGCUCGUAGUUGGAUCUCGGAGCGGAGCUCACGGUCCGCCUUUUCGGGUGUGUACUGUGCUGUUCUGUUCUUCUUCUCGUGGAGCGUGUGUGCUCUUCACUGAGUGUGCACGUAACUCGGGACUUUUACUUUGAAAAAAUUAGAGUGUUCAAAGCAGGCCUUGGCUUGAAUACAUUAGCAUGGAAUAAUGGAACAGGACUACGGUCACUGCACUUUUCCGUUGGUUUCGGAGGGCCGAAGUAAUGAUUAAGAGGGACAGUUGGGGGCAUCCGUAUUUCGCAGUCAGAGGUGAAAUUCUUGGAUCUGCGAAAGACGAACGAGUGCGAAAGCAUUUGCCAAGAGUGUUUUCAUUAAUCAAGAAC
RNAcentral lists this ribosomal RNA (400 nucleotides) under phytoplankton environmental sample. Its description in RNAcentral is "partial small subunit ribosomal RNA". It matches the Rfam family "Eukaryotic small subunit ribosomal RNA", at positions 587 to 984 of the family's 1831-position model. The record is from RNAcentral.